This 572-nucleotide long non-coding RNA is filed under the name Homo sapiens (human). RNAcentral's name for it is "non-protein coding lnc-ZNF90-3:1". Lineage: Eukaryota; Metazoa; Chordata; Mammalia; Primates; Hominidae. The record is from RNAcentral.
AUGCCACAGAGCAGAGCCCUGGGCUGCAGGAGGAGGGCCUGGAGCACUCCUGGUUAGAAUUGUAUUUUCACAAUAAUGGAAAUGAAAGUGGUGUUCCAGCCUAAUUUCUACUGACAACGAUGACAUGGAAAAAGUACUACUGGAUGCCCAGCAAGAAGUCUGGAUGGAGUUGCUCCACGAGUUGUCACCGUGACAGCCCACCUCACUCACAGACACAAGGAACCAACAGAGCUUCUGAAACACCCAAGGCAUUGGAGAGAAAAACAGUUAUUAGUCUGUGGAAGAUUAUAUUGACAGAAAGAAAGAAAUUGAAAGCAUAUUGAAGGAAUACUCAGAUUAGAUAUGGGAUUGGUUAAGUGAGCAAGAAAAAAUUCCCCCCAAUGUUUCUCUUUAAAGAACCAAAGUGCACAGCUACUCUCAGCAUGAGAAACACACGCAUUCUGAAGAACAGAUACAUAUUCUAUCCAGAAUUUCUAGAGGUUUUUCUUCCAUCUUUGCUGCUGUCUCAUCUGCUGGCCAUUGGACUAGGGAUUUAUAUUGGAAGCCAUCUAACAACAUCCACCAGCAUCUUU